Molecule: long non-coding RNA, 690 nt
Filed under: Calidris pugnax (ruff)
Lineage: Eukaryota; Metazoa; Chordata; Aves; Charadriiformes; Scolopacidae
Description: lncRNA (ENSCPUG00000017840.1)
Source: RNAcentral
AAGAUGCUUUGACAAGGUCCAGUGCUGGCAGUAUGUAGAUAUGCUUAAUCCAGCCAGGAACCUGCUCCAGAGAUCACUAAGCUGCCUUGUCACUACUGACCCCCCAGUCUGUGUGAGGACGUAGGACUUAAUGUUUGAAACCCCUGGAAAAACUCUCGAAUCUGCAAGAUCUCAGAAACAGGAAAAUCUGUUUUCCUGCAUAAGAAGAAGGGCUUUUUGUGGUGACUGAAUACCGUACAUACAUCAGAAUGGCAGUACUAUUUGUUAAAUGUGAGUUACUUAAAUAAUUCAUUUUUCUCGCUAAUUAUACAGUACGUGGUUAGCUUCAAUGAUCGCAUGUAAUUAAAGGGGAAUGUCUUCUGCAGCUCUGUCAUGACUUUGAUGGUGCUGAUCGAGAAGAGAUGGAGAUUUCCUGGUAGCCUACAGAUUAUGUGCUAAUUAAGGGGUUUUCAUGGAGUGGCAUGUGUAUCCUGCGCAUGGAGACACACCUUGAAGAGCCUGCCAGUGAGUUAGAGAAGCCCCAGGGUUUGCUAGGGCAGCUGUGCUUCCAGGGAGAAGACCUCUGAAGGCUGCGCUGACAUGACAGCAGGGUAAGCUGCUAGCUCCAAACAUGCCACCUUCUGUCUCCUCCUAAGGGAAAUCUUGUCUAGCUAAAUGAGAAGAGAGUGGAAUGGGCAAAAGUUUUAAGCA